Molecule: ribosomal RNA, 253 nt
Filed under: uncultured bacterium
Lineage: Bacteria
Description: partial 16S ribosomal RNA
Rfam family: Bacterial small subunit ribosomal RNA
Source: RNAcentral
AACGUAGGACGCAAGCGUUAUCCGGAGUUACUGGGCGUAAAGCGCGGGCAGGCGGUCUUGCCAGUCUGAUGUGAAAUCUCCUCGCUCAACGGGGAGCAGCCAUUGGAAACUACAAGACUGGAGUCUGGCAGAGGUAGGCGGAAUUCCGGGUGGAGUGGUGAAAUGCGUAGAGAUCCGGAGGAGCACCAGAGGCGAAGGCGGCCUACUGGGCCAGUACUGACGCUGAGCCGCGAAAGCCAGGGGAGCGAACGGG